RNAcentral lists this unclassified non-coding RNA (254 nucleotides) under uncultured Gemmatimonadota bacterium. RNAcentral's name for it is "uncultured Gemmatimonadetes bacterium contains 16S-23S intergenic spacer region". It matches the Rfam family "Bacterial small subunit ribosomal RNA", at positions 524 to 776 of the family's 1533-position model. Lineage: Bacteria; Pseudomonadati; Gemmatimonadota. The record is from RNAcentral.
UACGGAGGGUGCGAGCGUUGUUCGGAAUUAUUGGGCGUAAAGCGCACGUAGGUGGCUUCUUAAGUCUCUUGGUGAAAGGCCGGGGCUCAACCCCGCGCUGGCCGGGGAUACUGGGGAGCUGGAGACAGGUAGAGGCGAGCGGAAUUCCGGGUGUAGCGGUGGAAUGCGUAGAGAUCCGGAAGAACACCAGAGGCGAAGGCGGCUCGCUGGACCUGAUCUGACACUGAGGUGCGAAAGCGUGGGGAGCGAACAGG